GAUCCUGGCUCAGGAUGAACGCUGGCGGCGUGCUUAACACAUGCAAGUCGAACGAAGCACUUUAUUUGAUUUCCUUCGGGACUGAUUAUUUUGUUGACUGAGUGGCGGACGGGUGGAGUAACGCGUGGGUAACCUGCCUUGUACAGGGGGAGUAACAGUUGGAAACGGCUGCUAAUACCGCAUAAGCGCACAGCAUCGCAUGAUGCAGUGUGAAAAACUACCGGUGGUAUAAGAUGGACCCGCG
This 244-nucleotide ribosomal RNA is filed under the name uncultured bacterium. RNAcentral's name for it is "partial 16S ribosomal RNA". It matches the Rfam family "Bacterial small subunit ribosomal RNA", at positions 15 to 235 of the family's 1533-position model. The record is from RNAcentral.